AUCUAGCUGACGCGUCCCGAACAGAACGAAACAUGUGCCCUGGAU
RNAcentral lists this non-coding RNA (45 nucleotides) under Schistosoma bovis. The record is from RNAcentral. RNAcentral also lists the same sequence under 1 other name. Lineage: Eukaryota; Metazoa; Platyhelminthes; Trematoda; Strigeidida; Schistosomatidae.